CGGAAUGAGUGGGCGUAAAGAGAGAGGAGGUGGCCCGUUAAGUUGGGUGAGAAAACCGCGGGCUCCACCGGGGAACGCU
Molecule: ribosomal RNA, 79 nt
Filed under: Escherichia coli
Lineage: Bacteria; Pseudomonadati; Pseudomonadota; Gammaproteobacteria; Enterobacterales; Enterobacteriaceae
Description: partial 16S ribosomal RNA
Source: RNAcentral